Molecule: ribosomal RNA, 319 nt
Filed under: uncultured eukaryote
Lineage: Eukaryota
Description: partial 18S ribosomal RNA
Rfam family: Eukaryotic small subunit ribosomal RNA
Source: RNAcentral
CCCUUAGAUGCUCUGGGCCGCACGCGCGCUACACUGGUCGAUGCAACGAGUUUCUUUCCUUGGCCGACAGGCCUGGGCAAUCUUUGAACAUCGAUCGUGAUCGGGAUAGAUUCUUGUAAUUUUUGAUCUUAAACGAGGAAUUCCUAGUAAACGCAAGUCAUCAGCUUGCAUUGAUUACGUCCCUGCCCUUUGUACACACCGCCCGUCGCUCCUACCGAUUGGGUGCUCCGGUGAAUUGUUUGGACUGCUGUCAGUCUUUUAGGCUGUCGGCGAGAAGCUCUGUGAACCUUAGCACCUAGAGGAAGGAGAAGUCGUAACA